RNAcentral lists this long non-coding RNA (7660 nucleotides) under Marmota monax (woodchuck). Lineage: Eukaryota; Metazoa; Chordata; Mammalia; Rodentia; Sciuridae. The record is from RNAcentral.
GUGCCCAGGCCGUACCGUGGACACUUUCAUUCCCCACCUUUUUCCCUGUCCUGGGGGUGACCAUGAUAGGACACGAGGCUCACAAUCUCCCACCACCUUUUCCUGCCUCAGGUCCCUGUUCUCCCCUACUGAGGAGCAAGGUGGUGGGACUCUGCAGGGCUACUCACAGUGAUGUUCUCUCCUGGAUGUACCUCACCAGGGCUAUCAGGUGUGGACCUAAAGCUACUCCUCCCACUUUCAGGUGUGCCAAUUGGAGGAGGACCAUCAGCGAGGCACAGGCAGCAGCACAUGAAGCAACUUCGCAGUUGUUUCCAAAAGUUUCUUCUUUUGGGUGUCCAGUGGAUUGGGUCUGGGGAAGGGGCCGUGCAGCCAUAGGGGGAGCUCUGGCGACGUGGCCUCCUAAAGGGUCGGCCUCCACAGGGGAAGCAGGACAACAUGUUUUGGCUUUCAAAGUAUUUCACCAAAUGAGCUGGGAGGAGGCUGUUGCUAGAAUGUGGGUGCCUGGUUACUGGGUUCCAAGUUCUGUUUGACUCUAUGACCAAGGAAGGGGGCCCAUGUCUUGGGGUUCCUGGCCUAACCCAUCCUCCAGAUAAGCCCAUGUUUGUCCCUCUGUUGGCUCUCCUCCAGCCCCAUGCCAUUGCCAUAUGUUUACACAGCCAACCCCAACACUAGCCCCACAUCCCUUGGCAGGCAUGGGUGUAGCCAGGGUCCCAGCUCUGAGGAGACACAUCUAGGUUUCAACCCUGCUCCUCCUCCUGUCCUCUCAUGUGACCUUGGACAAGUCAUCAUGUCUCUAAGGCUUGCCCAGUGUCCCCCUGCACAGUGUCUACUUCCUAGCACUGUCACCAGGCAUAUCUGACAUAACACUUAGAAACGAUGUUGUCAAAUGUCUGUAAUGCACAAAAGUAGAGAUAAAAUAUGGAAACAGGUGAAAUUUUAACGUAGAAUAGAGCUAAGGACAGGCCUAGUCUCCUGCCUGCUGACUUUGAAAAUGCCAUUUUCCUUCCUGGCCUUCUUUCUCUGUCUGCAUCUUGAGGGGGUUGAAAUGCAAUUAGUGGGGAUAUCCUCAUCUCCCAGAGCCACCCACCUUGUUCUCUUUGGGAUGAGAGUAAGCACAGUCACAUUUAGUAAAUGAAUGAGCAAGAAUACCUUCACCUCCAUCACCCUUUCUACUCAAGUCCCAUCAAAAUAAUAAUAAUAAUAAUAAUAAUAAUAAUAAUAACCCUUCAAAAGAUCACUGUGAAGAACUCCAUACCAGGUAGGUACAGAACAUAUUCAAAAAUCUAUAACUAUGUGUAUUUGUAACUCUGUAGCAAAAUUACCUGAAAUUUUGUGGCUUAAAACAGAGAAAUUUAUUUUCUCAUGGUUCUGGAGGUGAGAAAUCUCAACAUGCCACAGGGCCAUGUUCCCUCUAGUCUCUAAACAACAAUCCUUUCUGAUCUUUUUCAAUUUUUAAUGGCCCUAUGUUUUCCCAGGUUUAGGACAGUGUCACUCCAAACUCCACCUCCAAUCUUCACAUAGCCUCCUCCUUAUUCUGUGUCCUCUCCUCUUCUUGAAGGGACACUUGACAUUAGAUUUAGAGCCCAUUCAGAUAAUACAGCAUGAUCAUCAUGAUCUCAUCUUGAGAUCCUUAAUUACAUGUGCAAGGAUCUUUUUCCAAAUACAGUUAGAUUCACUCAUUCUGAGACAAACCCACAGAAUACAGUUACUCAUACUAGACAAAGGUGCCAAAAACAUACAUUGGAGAAAAGAUAGCCUCUUCAAAAAAUGGUGUUGGGAAAACUAGAAAUCCAUAUGAUGCAAGAUGUAAUUAAACUCCUCUCUCCCUGCACAAAACUCAACUCAAAGUGGGCCAAGGACUUAGGCUUUAUAACAGAGACCCUACACCUAAUAGAAGAAAAAAGGAGACUGAAAUCUAUGUCAGCUUAGGAACUGAGUUCCUUAUCAAGACUCCUAAAGCACAAGGAGUAAAAUCAAGAAUUAAUAAAUGGGAUGGAAUCAAACUAAAAACCUUCAUCACAGCAAAGCAAACAAUCAAGCACAUGAAGAGAGAGCCUACAAAAUCAGAAAAACUCUUUACUUGCACCUGCACCUCAAAUACAGCAUUAUUCUCCAGGAUACAUAAAGAACUCAACAAACUCAACAACAACAACAACAAAAAUAACCCAAUGAAGAAAUAAGCAUCCAGCAGCUAGAGAGGCUGGGAUGGGAAGAUCACAAGUUCAAAGCCCAGCCUCAGUAACCGCAAGGUGCUAAGCAACUCAGUGAGACCCUAUCUUUAAAGAAAAUAUAAAAUAGGUAUGGGGAUGUGGCUCAGUGGUUGAGUGCCCCUGAGUUCAAUUCCCAGUAUCAAAAAAAAAAAAAGGAAAUAAUCAAAGGAACUAAACAGAUACUUCACAAAAGAAGAAGUAUGAUCAGAUAAAAAAUAUGAGAAAAUGUUCAACAUCUCUAGCAAUUAGAGAAAUGCAAACUAAACUAAAACCAUACAAGUAACAGCAAAUGUUUGCAAGGAUGUGGGAAAACAAGUACACUCAUACAUUGCUGGAGGGACUACAAAUUGGUGCAACCACUCUGGAAAGCAGUAUGGAGAUUCCUUAGAAAAGUUGAAAUGGAACUACCAUUUGAUCCAGUUAUCCACUUCUUGGCUUAUACCCAAAGGACUUAAAAUCAGACUACUACAGUGACACAGUCACAUCAAUGUUUAUAGCAGAUCAGUUCACAAUAGCCAAACUAUGGAGCCAAUCUAGGUGCUAUUCAACAGAUAAAUGAAUAAAUAUGCGGUAUAUAUACACAAUGGAAUAUUAAUAAGCAAUAAAGAAGUAUGAAAUUAUGGCAUCUGCUGGUAAAUGGAUAGAACUGGAGAAUAUCAUGCUAAGUGAAGUAAGCCAGUCCCCAAAAUCUAAAGGUCAAGGCUUCUCUCUGUUAUGUAGAUGCUAACCCAUAAUCAGGUACAGUAGGCACAGGAAGUAUAGAAGUUCACUGGAUUAGGCAAAGGGAAAUGAAGGGAAGAGAGGGGAGAUGGGGAAAGGAAAGGCAGUAGAAUGAAGCACACAUUACUUUCCCAUGCUAAUAUACGAAUACACGACCAGUGUAACUCCACAUCAUGUUCAACCACAAGAAUGGGAUCAAAAUUAUAAUGGGUUGUACCCCAAGUAUGUAUGGUAUGUCAAAAUACAGUUGACUGUCCUGCAUCUCUAAAAACAAACAAACGCUGAAAGUGAGAUGUUGAGGAUUGAAGGUCAGUAGUCACCUGGUAAGACCAAUCCCAGCAGUUCACACUGUGCUUUAUUCUGUUCACCAAAUAGGUCUUAGACCUGGGAAGUCUUCUUGUCAUACCUCACAGGAUGGCUCCACCUUAAGCCAAAAUGUGUUUGAAUUUUGUUAUUUCAUAGGCCCAACUUAGUUUUCCAUAAAGCAAAAUCAACAUUCAUCUUAUGGUGUACUUCAGUUUGUUAUUGUAGUUCCCUCUUAUCAAAAAUUUCAAUUUCUGUGGUUUCACUAAAAUGUGGUCCAAAAACAGUAAAUUUAAAACUACAGAAAAAAAAACCACUGUGUAAGUUUUAAAUUUUUCACAAUUCUUAAUACAAUGAUCAGGUAUUAAGAUUAGGUAGCAUCAUUCUCUAUCAUGACUAUGCCGUGAAUCAUCCCUUUGUCCUAUGAUGCAGGACGUGUAGUCGACCCACACAUUAGUUCCUAAACAGCCAUCUGGUCAUGAGGUAAACUGUGGUGGUUUGCACUGCUUGUACAUGGAGUUCAAUUCUAUCUGUAAUUUCAGGUUUCUACAUAGGAUAUUGAAAGGGAUCCAAUUCACAUUGAAGUCUUUCUCUUGGAACCAAAGAAGAACUGGAACAUGACUUUGAGAAACAUUUCUUUUUCCUAGGCUUCUCUGAUCUCUCUCAGCUAUAGAGACAUUGGGUUUUUUUUCAUCUCUACUUUUCAACAUAAACCAGUUCCUCCACUGAGUACCCUGAAACUUCCUGCCUUUUGCCCCAUUGCAAACUCUGUGGAAAAGAGCAUUUACUCACAUAGCUCCCUCUUCCUAAUACGCUGCAUGCCACACUGGAAUCUCUCCUCUAGAACACUAUGAUCCCCCAACAUGGCUCCAGCAUCAGUUCUGACUUUCUCCCCAUACAUUGAUUAAUUUGAGUCUCUGCUCUCCUGUGCUCAUCAGAGGUAGUUGGACAGUUUGUGUGUUCCUCCUCUGGCUUCUGCUCUGGAUCCUACUGGGUUGUUUUAGUGUUUCGGGGUGACAAUUCUCUACUGAAAAAGAAAAGGGUGACAAGUAUCUUUUAUAAACAUAUUAUUAAUUUGCUCUCAUAAGAGUGACCUCCAAUACUUGUGGCAGCUCUAGCUCCAGCUCCAUCACCAUCCUGAGAACCAGAGGAGCCGUUGCCAGAAACUCCUUCACCACCAGCUCCAGAUCUCAGGUACUAGAGGCUCAACAGCCAGUGCCAGCUCCUGAGCUGCACCUUGGACCUGCUAUGCCCAGAGCAGCCCUUCACCUCCCUUACCAUUUCACUUGUUUUCCUAUUAGUUUUGGUUAUUUUUUAUUUGCUGAUGAUUAAUUUUAAAUAAAAUUUAGUAGUUUACUCAUUUGAAAUAUUUAGUUCAAUGCAAUUAAGUGCAUGUUCAAUGUUGUAUAACCAUCACCAUUGUCUAGUUCCAGAAUAUUUUCCUCAAUCCUGUCCCCGCUCAUUGUCCUGGUUGGCCCCAGCAGCCACUCAUCAUUCUAUCCAUGUGUUGCAGAUUUGUAAUCAACAGAUAGUUGCCGGACAUCUGCUCUCUGCAUCACUGUGGGGAUGGAGGCAGAUGCAGGGCACUGUGCCACGUCACUUCUCACCCCUCCACCAAAUCAGAGACUCCUGGACUCUACCUGAUGUUUCCUGCCAACCUUACCAACUUUCAGGUUGGCCUUAUAGUGUCCUUGCCUCCCAUUUCAAGAAACGGAAGAUACAUUGUCCCCAUCAUGCUUUAAAGAAGACUGAAAUUAUGGCAAUAAUAAGACAAUCCCUCAAAAUACAAAGGCCAAAUGUUUUUUCUAACAUGUGGAUGCUAAUUGACAAUAAAGUGGGGGGCACUAGAGAAGAACAUCAUUACCUUAGACUAGGUAGAGGGAAAUGAAGAAAGGAGAGUGGAGGGGAUAUAGGAAUAGGAAAGACAGUAGAAUGAAACAGACAUUAUUACUGUAUUAUAUAUGUGACUACAUGAUUAAUAUGAUUCUGCAAUAUAUACUCAGAAAAAUGAGAAAUUAUAUCCCAUCUAUGUAUGAUAUAUCAAAGUGCAUAAAUGUCAUGUAUAACUAAUUAAAACAAAUUAAAAAUUAAUUAAAAAAGAAAAGGUAAGCCUCGGUUAGAUGGAACGUUCACAUCAUGUGGAUGUCUUUCUCUGUAUGUGCUUAUAUUUCUAAUUUCAUAGUCAGGCAUGGCCUAACAAUGGGGACUCUUUAUGAGAAAUGUAUCAGUAGGUGAUAUCGUCCUCUGAGAUCACUAUAGAGUGUACUUGUACAGGGGAAGAAGGCUAUGAUGUCACCAGGCAGUAUACUCUCAGGGGACCCCCAUCUUAUAUGCAGCCCAUCGCUGACUGUGAGGUUGGUAUGUGUUGCAUGCUUGUACAUCCAUAGGUCUUUGCCUCUGGACUGAGCCUUCAGAUGCUGGCAGGUUGGAUUUCUCUUUUUUCCUCCCCACCCUUCCAUCUCACUGUGCUCCCUAACACCAUUCUGCACUCAUCACUACCUAGUGGAUCAUCCCAGUUCCCUCCAUUAAAAGGCCGCCUCCAGUAGAAUGAGACAGACAUUAUUACUCUACAUACAUGUAGGAUAUAGUCAACUACUGGUGUGACCCUGCAUGAUGUACAGCCAGAGGAAUAAGAAGUUGUGCUGCAUUCAUAUACAGUGUGUCAAAAUGCAUUCUACUGGCAUAUACAACUAAUUAGAACAACAACAACAAAAUCCACACCUGGAUCUUCUCUGGAACCCUCCAGCAGGCUAGGGCUCCUUCACAUACAUUCUUCCAGAUGACACACCAGUUGUGGGAGCUGGUGACUUAGGAGGAUGACUGCCAGAGGGUAAGAGGGAGUGGGGACAGGGACGCUGAACUUGGCUUCUCCCUGCUGCACAUCACUUCUGAUGUAGGUGGAUCCCUCCUGGACACCAUCCAAUCCCUGCCAACAGCAGGUGGGGUCCUGGCUACCAACUCUUUAAUGCCCAAUAGUGAGCAGCAAGAGGACACUAAGUUUUAGCAAAUAGUCAUCUCCAGUCAUACCUCUCAGUAUCCAAGUGGGAUAGGUCACAGAACCCCUUGAAUACCAAAAUCACCAUAUGCUCUACUCCCUUAAAAAAUUGUGUAGAAUUUGCAUGUAACCUCCACAGUCUUCCUUCCAGAUACUUUAAAUCAAACUGAGAUUCUUUAAGAUGUAAAUGCUUUGAAAUGGUUGUCAAGGUCUUUUUUAGGGAAAAAUGACAAGGAAAAAAGUCUUUAAGUAUUCAGUAAUGAAGUGAAUAUUUUUUCAAACAUUUCCAUCUGAGGGUGGUUGAGUCUGUGGAUGCAGAAGCUGAGCCUACAGAAGGCUGACUACUGAUUACAGAGUCUUCUCUAGAAAGGCACAAAAUGGGCAGAACUGGACCCAGAGGCACCUUCUGGGGAAAUGAAGAAUAGAACCUUCAUCUCUCUCUAACUGUUGCCAGUCAUAGUGACUUGUGUCCAAGAAGCUGAGGGUUUGCAACCCCAGAAGGUGAGAGGGAGCUAGAGGAAAUCUUCCCCCAACGAUGCUGUGGAGGUCCCCAAUCCUCACUGCAUCCCUCAAACUUCCCUGCGGUCAGGAACGAUGGAAAACAUGCCCUAGUUUUCAAGAAGCCACCACUGAGUUAAGACAAGGGCAGCCCACUAGGGCAGAAAGCAGGGCUGGAGGAUGGAGGGGCAGGGCCAGAGCCCUUCCCACCAGGUCAGCUGUUGGGUAGGACAGCAAAGUGCAGGUUACUGUCAGCUAUUCAUCAGCCCACUCAGACCAGCCGGAGUCCCUCUUUGCUUCCUGGCCCCCACCCAGCUGUACAUCCCCCUGGGGACCAGUCCAGGCUCUGGGAGGACCACAGCCACGCACACCAGGAGAAUGUGCCAGGACAUGCUUUGGUUGGCACUGCUGGUCUGUCUGUGCUUGGGAAGCCCCACCCUGGGUCACAACAAAUAACACAAAUGCAUCCUUAUCACACAAGAACUGCACUGAAAAAAUGGAAAGAAACUUGUAUUACUGUGAAAAAACCACAUAAAUGAAAUUAACAAGCAGAAAUGUGAUAUACAUGUCUUAGCUCAGACUUUGGCUCACAUUUGCUGGGUUCACUCCCUCCUCAACAUCAGCAUCUCAUGAAUAUUCCACUAUGUGUUGCAAUGUUUUUCUCACUGUUUGUAUAACAUAUAAAACUAAAUAAAACCAUGCACAACAAAUUGGGAGUUGUCAUUAUUUUAAAAUGGCAGGAUCUGGCAGGUGCUGUCUUCUAAUGGUGGUCUGUGGGUGCCAUUAUGGACAGUGACAAUGCUGUGGUUUGGGUAAGUGCUCCCAAAGGUCCAAGUGUUGUCACCAUUUCAGUCUUGUCACCAUACUGAGGUGCCAUCAUGACCUGGUGGUAGCACUAUGAAGGAGUACUAACUGAAAAAAUUGGGGCUUCUAG